Molecule: long non-coding RNA, 1026 nt
Organism: Vitis riparia (riverbank grape)
Lineage: Eukaryota; Viridiplantae; Streptophyta; Magnoliopsida; Vitales; Vitaceae
Exons: 2
Source: RefSeq, a predicted model, not a curated record
CUCCUUUCUCCUUUUCCCCUUCAGAGAGCUCUGAAAGGUCAUCAGCAGCAUCAUGGCGACCUUGCUCCCGCUCAAGACGCCGCUUUAUAUUUCUUAAUAUAAAGAGCAAAUGGUAAGAAGUGUGGAAGGGGGACCUGCUUCUUUUUGCGAGCAAGAUGCCAAAUGCGCCAGCACAUAUUCUCAAGCCUGUUGCUCCUAUCACGUGAGUUCCUUGUUGCUAUCACCUGUCAUUCACAAGUUAUUUCCUUUCAUUUCUCCUUUUAAUUAAAACUUCUUAAUAACAUCAAAAUCCACCCCCCACCCCAAACCAAAAAAGAAGAAAAAAACCCUGGAUGAUACAACUCCCAUCUCUAUUAUUGAUAUUUCUUUCCCUUCCUUGUCAAUUUUCCAUGAGUCCAUGUUCAAACACAUUUUGUUAUGAAAUUUGUGCUAUAAAGCAUAACCCUAAAUCACAAUUUGUUUAUUUAGAAUCUUUCUAUUUUUUGCUUAAAUUGGGUGACUGCCAAAACUUAGAAUAGGUAUAGAUAAAUGUUUUAGACCCCCAACUUUCCUAUAAAAGGAAAUGACCUGACUUGAAAUAAACCUCUUACUCUUUCCCCCUCAAUAAAUUUUCAGCAGAUUAUGUUUACUCUUUUGGAAUGAAGUACUUUUUAACUGUUUUAUUCAAUAACACAAAUAUAAAAAAUAUACUUAAUUAUAAAAAACAGAUUCUUUUCUGGGUCAAAAAAGGACAAGCUUUACAUCAACCUCACUAUAACCUUUAUGUAUAUCAUAUAUUUUUCUUUUAAUUUUUUUUUUUUGGAGGGGGGGGUAUGCAUAAUUAUUUACUUUAGAUGGGAUGAGACACUUUUAAGGAUAAGAAAGUUGAGUUUGUUUUGAAUAAAGGAGAAGAUAUGAUGCCCAUGCAAUCCCAUAACAACUGUAACCAAAUUCUAUGUGUAUGUAUUCUCACUUGAAGACAGUGUAGGUCACUUUACAAGGUGCUAAAUAUCUUGAUAUAAGUAUCUUCUUUUUUAGUACCAUAAA